AUGAUAAUUAGUUUAAGCCAAAAACAAAUGAUUUCGACUCAUUAGAUUAUGA
This 52-nucleotide transfer RNA is filed under the name Canis lupus (wolf). Its description in RNAcentral is "partial tRNA-Arg". The record is from RNAcentral. RNAcentral also lists the same sequence under 1 other name. Lineage: Eukaryota; Metazoa; Chordata; Mammalia; Carnivora; Canidae.